RNAcentral lists this long non-coding RNA (2537 nucleotides) under Sarcophilus harrisii (Tasmanian devil). Its description in RNAcentral is "lncRNA (ENSSHAG00000022640.1)". Lineage: Eukaryota; Metazoa; Chordata; Mammalia; Dasyuromorphia; Dasyuridae. The record is from RNAcentral.
ACUGCAGGAGAUAGUGCUAAUCUUUUAAUAAAAGAUCCCAUUACAAUGGGAUCUGUCUGGACAGACUAUAAUAGAUCCAGAAAUACAGCCGUGCUAAUAUUAGAAGACAGUUGUUUGGGUGCCUCUCAGACGGGCCGAAGUCCUGCUUUGAAAGUGGGCAUGAAUCACAAAGACCCGCGGCCGCCGCACCUGCACUCGGGCCCAUUCAGUACAACAGACUGUUAAAAAUCCAAGAAAAGCAGUAGAAUGCAACAUCCUGAAGAUGCAAGGAUUCUGAGAAGGAAGUGUAUUUUUUCUUCCCCCCAAGGAAUUUGGGAGUGGAGAACACAGGUAUGUUUGUAAAUUUAUAUAGGUCAGAGAUCAAGAUAUAUACUUCCUGAUCUUGUAUCUUGUCCAGUCUUUUUCAAUAUUCCAGCUGCAUUUUCCAAAUUCUUCAUUUUAUUAUCAUUACAUGCAUACAUACAUGUAUAUAUACACAUAUUAAUAGUAGUAAGAUACAUUUCCUUUCCACUUGUGGCUAGUGAUAUGUACUAGUCACAUAAGUAUAUGUUAUCAGAUACUUACUAUCUAUGUGCUUCUUUUUUCUAUCUAAUUUAGGAUGAAAGCUUCUAAAGAACUCAGGGGUUCCUCUUUCCGCUUAUUUAGUAAAUUUGCUGUGAUGAAAAGUACAUGGUAAGGGCUUCAGAAUUAUUUUUAACCCAUGGUCAGUACUGAUGAGAUUUAAUAUCCUUUAAAAUAUUGUAAGAUUUAACUUCGUUUAUAUUUGUGCACAUAACAUAUGAGAGGCAGAAGGGCAUAGUGGAUAGAAGGCUGCUUCUGACAAAUCCUUAUUGUGUGAGUAUGGACAAAUCACUUAAUCUCUGACUUACCCAGGCAAUGAAUGCUUUGAAACUCUAAGUUACAGAUUUGUAUAGAUGGAAGAAAUGUUCAAAUCAUACUAGAUAUGUAUUAUUGUUCACAUAAAUUCAUGAGUAUAUUCGUACACCAAUAUUCUGAGACUUUAAGUUACAGAAUGAUUGCUGAUUUGCAUUAAUAGAGAUAAUUUUUGUACAGAGACUUUCCUACUCCAAUGAUUUCAGGUCUAGUCUCCUCUCCCCACUUUCCAUUUUCAAAUAUGUUGUUUUGAGUAGUGCAUAUCUCUCUAUAUAUUCUUGUGUUCACACACACGCAUUCUCUUAAUUCUCCAGAUCUAUAUAAAAUUCAGAAAAGAGUCGAUGAUGUGGAUGAUUUAAAUAUAAAAAUUAUAUAGAUUUUUUUUGUCAUGAUUGUGCAAUAUGUUUAAUGUAAUCAUAUGUUUCACUUUGGGUAAAUGGAUGAAACUUGUAUCAUAAAGAUGUUAUAACUUCGAACAAUCUAGGUUAGUUUCUUCAUAAUGUCAAUAGAAUUGGGUGCAAAAAAAUAUUAUGGCCUAUUCAUUUUCUUUUUGUCUAGAUGGUGCCAAACAUUCAAUUUGAUCAGUUGAUCAAGUUGAUCAAACCCAUUUGUUUUAGCAUCAUAGAGGCACAAUCUAAUUGCCUUUGUUGGAUCUGGAAAUAGGAGUGUGAACAUUUCUUAUGCAAGCACUAUUGCUUAUAGGAAUACUCUGGCACUAGUGGCAAGCCCAACAACAAAAAAAUUACUUCUUACUCCAGAAAGGGUGCAGGUCAGGGUUGAGGUUACUGGCAAGCACAGUGUGGAAAACACAAAUUCUAUGUUGCUUUUGCCCUUGUGAACAAGCAGCCUGGUAUUUACUUUGCAAUACAGACUCAUCCUGUUUUUCAGCUGCACCUUGGUUAGUAUUGAUCUAUUUGGUAAAAUGUCUAUUGUGAUUCUGCAUAGUAAAACAGUAAUGAAUACUGUUAUUGUAUUCUGUGCUCUCUGGCCAUCUUCCUAGGAAUGAGUCACAGGUCAAUACUUGUUCCAUAUGUGCGUCCUCUGUGCAUCAGCAGAAGAUCAAUCCGAUUGCAGUGGGGUGGAAUUGUAUCACACCUGUUCGGUGACAUCACAGAGAACAGCUGUUGUUUCUUGUAUUAUUUUAUCUCCUUUAACUGUUAAAUAUUGGGUUUACAUCUGCCAAAAUGUCAGGGUCACAUUUUAAAAUAAAAAUGCUUUCUUUCAUUUAUUUGUGUGCUUCCAUUUUCAACUUUGUUCCCCCUUCAAGUUUGCCAAAAAGUAAAUGUAAAUUAACAGAAGACACAAUAGGACUACUUUGUAGCUGAGUCUGAUCGACGCACAAAAACUAUGCUGUUUUUUUACUGUGUUUUUUUUUUUUUGUGGCUUCAAAAGAAAUCCUUUUCAUAAAAUUUAUAAAUUAUAAAAACUAUAGUUUAGCAAAUGCUUAAAUGAAAAUUUUAGGAAAACUUCCUUAUAAAUGAUUGGAGCUAAAUUUUAGAUCUCCAAAUGAGUUUUUUGUUUUGUUUUUUGCUUUUGCUCUUUGUGUGUAUGUAUAUAUGGAAUGUAUGAGGAUAAUGAACUGACUAAUUUUUUUUUAAUCUUUUACUUUAAAAAUGAAAUGUUCCACAAUUUUGACUGUAGGUAAUUUACAAACUGGAAGCAGC